Molecule: long non-coding RNA, 562 nt
Filed under: Lotus japonicus
Lineage: Eukaryota; Viridiplantae; Streptophyta; Magnoliopsida; Fabales; Fabaceae
Description: long non-coding RNA (LJAP_LNC000326)
Source: RNAcentral
UUUCUUUCUCAUUUUGUUUGCUGUAGGAGGUACCAACCUUUAAUUCUUUUCUUCUUCUUUUUCCUUCACGCGCAACUGCAACCACCAGCCACCAACAACAUCAUCAACAUGUUCUUGUUCAUCUCCAACCAUGGAAGCCUAUCCUGGCCACCACCACACACACACAAGCUCCCGCCAAGGCUACUCCUCCAACCACCAUGGAUGAGUUUGCUACCACCACCAAGCUUCCUUCUUUCUCCUUUCUCAUGGCCACGAACACACCACCACCGCGCCUUCCUUCACUCUCCAUGGAGCCAGCUACCACCGCUCUUCCUCUCCUCUUGGCUGAGCACAAGCCACCAUAGACACCGCAACGAAAACCUCCGUUCGCAGUGAGGUUAGUACCGUCGAAACCCUUGCGACAUCCACAACAAAACCCAUGUUCCGAAUCGUCGUUCCUCUGCGGUUGCCACCUUUGGAGGAGUUUUCCGCUCAACUCCGGCGACUGAUAGAAAAACGGAGUGCACCACUACAAUCCUUGUCGCGACGAGAGAAAAAACCUUCAAUCAAUUUCAGAUUUGGA